RNAcentral lists this ribosomal RNA (465 nucleotides) under uncultured bacterium. RNAcentral describes it as "bacterial SSU rRNA". It matches the Rfam family "Bacterial small subunit ribosomal RNA", at positions 338 to 795 of the family's 1533-position model. The record is from RNAcentral.
CCUACGGGGGGCAGCAGUAGGGAAUCUUCCGCAAUGGACGAAAGUCUGACGGAGCAACGCCGCGUGAGCGAAGAAGGUCUUCGGAUCGUAAAGCUCUGUUGUUAGGGAAGAACAAGUACGGGAGGAAAUGACCGUACCUUGACGGUACCUGACGAGGAAGCCACGGCUAACUACGUGCCAGCAGCCGCGGUAAUACGUAGGUGGCAAGCGUUGUCCGGAAUUAUUGGGCGUAAAGCGCGCGCAGGCGGUCUUUUAAGUCUGAUGUGAAAUCUUGCGGCUCAACCGCAAGCGGUCAUUGGAAACUGGGGCGCUUGAGUGCAGCAGCGGUAAGCGCAUAUCCACGUGUCGCCGUGAAAUGCGUUGAGAUCAGGAUGUUCACCUGUGUGGAUGUGGGCUUGCUGAUGUCUAUCUGACGCUGCGGGGCGAGAGCGUGAUGAGCAAACAUGAUAAGAUUCCCGUGUAGCC